Perca fluviatilis (European perch) is the source of this 2471-nucleotide long non-coding RNA. RefSeq lists it as uncharacterized. The record is from RefSeq and is a predicted model, not a curated record. Lineage: Eukaryota; Metazoa; Chordata; Actinopteri; Perciformes; Percidae. The transcript has 2 exons.
AGGAAGCAGUGGAAAAGAGAGGAAGUAGUUGAAGAGAGAGGAAGCGAGCAGCAAGGCAGGAGUGGUGAAAUGUGGGCCACAGGUGGCGUGGGACUGGUGGCAGAGAGGACCGAGGACAUGACCGGAGGUGAGGCUGGACGAGAGGACGGUCGAGAUCUGCGAGGCCUGUGCUGACGCUCUACGGGCGUGCAGGACGAUGCUAUGCAGUGAGACGUGCGGUCGACAGCGGAACGGAAACCAGGAAAGGGAAAGACGGUCCGACAGCGAGGGAUAGUCCCGCGCCACCCCCACCACGGAGCGAGAGGGACCGGAAUGGCAGGACAGUAACAUGGCCACAAGUGGAAGGAACACGGAGGAGGAGGCCGUAACACGGAGCACAAACGGACUGACUGGGAAGGAAGUGCAGCGAACGAGUGGGGGUGCAGAUCGGGACACAUCGACAGAGGCCGAAGCAGCAGGAGGGAUGCAGCCCCCUGAAUAACGGAUUCAACGCCUGGUGCCUCCAGUGUGGGUAUCGCAACGCAGAGUUAGGGGAAGAGAAGCCCAGCCUAGCCCCCCGACGGAAUCGGCCGCCCCUCUCGUGGGCUGCGUAUGGGACGGACUAUGACGCAUGGACGUGGACAUUGUGGCGGAAGCUCGGACUGACAUCGGACUAGGUUUUAUUUACCUUUUUAAAUCCAGAGAACUGCUUUUAUCUUUUCUUUUAGCCAGUGUUUUAAAUAAAGUGUUAAUUUAAGUAUUUACUUUGGUUUCUGGUCCAUUACUAUCAGUGGAAACAUUUGCUGGUAUUUUAGUUUAAAAUAGGGAGCUACACUUGGACAAAUACACCUGUGCUUUUCCUACUAUGACAUGUCAACAUGUCUGCUGUGAAAAAGGUCUAUUGGACUGAUCUGUUGUUUUGGGAGUCGGGGACACUGGGAGUCCCUGUUAGAUACUGGGGAUUUAAGGUCAAGGGACUCAGAUUUGAUCGAUGGCCAUGUGAAGUUCUGUAUUGUGUGUCCCUGUCCGCUUUGGACCUGAACUGGGUUGGUUUGGGAAAAUUAAAAGGGAAGUGACACACUGUUUUCGCUAACUUUUGUUCACAAUGGAUGUAUUGUAUGCCACGUGGGAUCAAAAUUUAAAUGCAAAAGCAAAACCAAAGCAUCCACAUUGUUGAGCGGCCUGUGCAGCCAAGAAGGGCAGCGUCGCUAGCAGCAGAAUGUCUGCAACACUCAGGUGGAGGACCAAGGUGCCUGAUAUAGGACACAGGACCGCCAGGAGUAGUCCAUUUCCCUGCAAAACCUAUGACCAGCUCCACGGAGUACAGAACAGCUUUACUGGCUCCUGACUCUAAGUCCUCUUCAUACUCAUAGUCCUCAUCAUAGGUGGAGUUCUGGCAAAAUAAUCCAUUGAGUUCCACAUCCAUGUUCAUGUACUGAGGAGGCAAAAAGGUUUAACUCAAAAGAGAGAAAUCCAAAAUGAAGUCCAGAUGUGACAAAUACCAUCUUAUAAUCUCUCUCGUCUCCUCUAAACUAACACACAACUCACACGGUGCAAUGUCACCAGAUUAGGUAACAGACUGGGGUUAAGCGGUGAAGCAGUUUCCCUUGAUCAAACACACACACACACACACAUACACACACACAAUCUAUGAAGCUAUUUUAUUCAUAGUGCCUGUGGGCUGUCAUCACGUUUUACUGUUGAUAGAGAUCCAUAAGUGCUGGUAGGACAAGAUGUGUGCGCAGAUAAACAUGAAAUAUUGCUACAGAAAAAAAGAAAACAGAAAGGGGGAGGCUUACAGGCACAUACAGAAUAUACAUGAAAUAAUAGGAUACAAUAUACAUUAAAUAAUAAUAGGAUAGAAUACAAGAACAAAUAUUUAAAAUAUAUACAAGUUGGGAAUAAAAAUGUACAACUGCCUAACUAGUAAUGAUAAAGAUGUAGAUAAACCUAUUGUUCAAGGUGCACUUAGUGCAGCUGUGAUGUCAUUGAGUCAGUGGUGAGAUGUUAGAAAGUUGUAUUUUAAGGUAGAAAGGAUUUCCUGUAGUAGUCUGUGAAUUGAUGAGUGCAUCCCUUUUUUUUCACACACUUGACAUUAGAAAGAAGAAGUCUUAAUUUCAGGAACCGAAAUCUUGCAAACAUAAUUAUAUUACUGCAAACUAAGUAACUAUGGUAGGAAACAGUGGUGUAGUGGUCCCUGGAGAAGUGGGUAUACUCUCAGUUUUCACGUUUUUUUUUUUUUAAAGUAGUCCAGAAAAAAGCCCUGUUUUAGAAACAGUGACAUGUAAGACUAUGAUUUAGUUUACCCAAAAAUCUGUCAUUUCUACUUGCUCACUAUUAUAAAAUGAUCAUGACUUGAUUAGGAGCAGUUUGUAGUUACUACUGGUCACACAAGCAGCCUGGAUGAAUGUAAAAUGUAUUUAUCAUGAGGCAAACAUGGUGUUUCGAUUAUUUUUUGCACAUUUAUUUAAAUAAAAUACUUCAAAUCUGAA